CGGACCCCAGGAAGGGAUGAUGUUCUGACUGGCACUCAAGAAAAGGAUUCUGAGCCUCCCUCGGGCGCUGAAGGAGCCCUCUGCUCCUGACCUUCCCUGGGCAGCU
Heterocephalus glaber (naked mole-rat) is the source of this 106-nucleotide small nucleolar RNA. Ensembl annotates it as small nucleolar RNA, C/D box 124. Its record names the gene SNORD124. The record is from Ensembl. Lineage: Eukaryota; Metazoa; Chordata; Mammalia; Rodentia; Bathyergidae.